Molecule: ribosomal RNA, 432 nt
Filed under: uncultured bacterium
Lineage: Bacteria
Description: partial 16S ribosomal RNA
Rfam family: Bacterial small subunit ribosomal RNA
Source: RNAcentral
GGGGAAUAUUGGACAAUGGGGGCAACCCUGAUCCAGCAAUGCCGCGUGUGUGAAGAAGGUCUUCGGAUUGUAAAGCACUUUCGACGGGGACGAUGAUGACGGUACCCGUAGAAGAAGCUCCGGCUAACUUCGUGCCAGCAGCCGCGGUAAUACGAAGGGGGCUAGCGUUGCUCGGAAUGACUGGGCGUAAAGGGCGUGUAGGCGGUUUACACAGUCAGAUGUGAAAUCCCCGGGCUUAACCUGGGAGCUGCAUUUGAUAUGUGUAGACUAGAGUGUGAGAGAGGGUUGUGGAAUUCCCAGUGUAGAGGUGAAAUUCGUAGAUAUUGGGAAGAACACCGGUGGCGAAGGCGGCAACCUGGCUCAUGACUGACGCUGAGGCGCGAAAGCGUGGGGAGCAAACAGGAUUAGAUACCCUGGUAGUCCACGCUGUAA